UCCCAGUGGCCUGUUCACUUUCCUGAAC
RNAcentral lists this non-coding RNA (28 nucleotides) under Rattus norvegicus (Norway rat). Lineage: Eukaryota; Metazoa; Chordata; Mammalia; Rodentia; Muridae. The record is from RNAcentral.